UAAAGAUUCAUCGCUGAUAGAUAGGCAUGCGUUCCAUUAGGCAGUUGGCGGGGUAACGGCCCACCAAACCGACGAUGGAUAGGGGUUCUGAGAGGAAGGUCCCCCACAUUGGUACUGAGACACGGACCAAACUCCUACGGGAGGCAGCAGUGAGGAAUAUUGGUCAAUGGGCGUAAGCCUGAACCAGCCAAGUCGCGUGAGGGAUGAAGGUUCUAUGGAUCGUAAACCUCUUUUAUAAGGGAAUAAAGUGCGGGACGUGUCCCGUUUUGUAUGUACCUUAUGAAUAAGGAUCGGCUAACUCCGUGCCAGCAGCCGCGGUAAUACGGAGGAUCCGAGCGUUAUCCGGAUUUAUUGGGUUUAAAGGGUGCGUAGGCGGCCUUUUAAGUCAGCGGUGAAAGUCUGUGGCUCAACCAUAGAAUUGCCGUUGAAACUGGGAGGCUUGAGUAUGUUUGAGGCAGGCGGAAUGCGUGGUGUAGCGGUGAAAUGCUUAGAUAUCACGCAGAACCCCGAUUGCGAAGGCAGCCUGCCAAGCCAUGACUGACGCCGAUGCACGAAAGCGUGGGGAUCAAACAGGAUUAGAUACCCUGGUAGUCCACGC
RNAcentral lists this ribosomal RNA (598 nucleotides) under uncultured bacterium. RNAcentral describes it as "bacterial SSU rRNA". It matches the Rfam family "Bacterial small subunit ribosomal RNA", at positions 202 to 800 of the family's 1533-position model. The record is from RNAcentral.